RNAcentral lists this ribosomal RNA (248 nucleotides) under uncultured archaeon. Its description in RNAcentral is "partial 16S ribosomal RNA". It matches the Rfam family "Bacterial small subunit ribosomal RNA", at positions 530 to 776 of the family's 1533-position model. The record is from RNAcentral.
AGCCCCAAGCGUUAUCCGGAAUUAUUGGGCGUAAAGGGUGCGUAGGCGGAUUAGUUAGUCGUCCGGUAAAAGCCCAGGGCUCAACCCUGGGUCUGCCGGCGAAACGGCUAGUCUAGAGAUAGUCAGAGGUACAUGGAACUCAUGGUGUAGGGGUGAAAUCCGUUGAUAUCAUGGGGAACACCAAAGGCGAAGGCAAUGUACUGGGGCUUUUCUGACGCUGAGGCACGAAACCCUGGGGAGCGAAGCGG